This 205-nucleotide long non-coding RNA is filed under the name Elaeis guineensis (African oil palm). RNAcentral's name for it is "long non-coding RNA (EGUI_LNC046971)". The record is from RNAcentral. Lineage: Eukaryota; Viridiplantae; Streptophyta; Magnoliopsida; Arecales; Arecaceae.
GCAAGUACUUGAAUUGGGUUGAUCGCCCGAUCGUCCGAUCAUAGGAGCAAGAAGGAUUUUAAUGGCCCUCUUUUUCAUUCGAUGGGGUACUCUUGUAGUGUGUAGGGGUGCCAUAUGAUUAGAUCCCAUGAAAAAGAAUAUGAAAGGAAGAACUUACUUUUCUGCAAAAUCUUAGAUAUUGAAAUGCUAGGUUUGUUGUAUGUGA